RNAcentral lists this ribosomal RNA (731 nucleotides) under uncultured bacterium. RNAcentral's name for it is "bacterial SSU rRNA". It matches the Rfam family "Bacterial small subunit ribosomal RNA", at positions 8 to 730 of the family's 1533-position model. The record is from RNAcentral.
AGGGUUUGAUCAUGGCUCAGAUUGAACGCUGGCGGCAUGCCUAACACAUGCAAGUCGAACGGAAACGAUGGGAGCUUGCUCCCAGGCGUCGAGUGGCGGACGGGUGAGUAAUACUUAGGAAUCUGCCCAUUAGUGGGGGACAACUCGGGGAAACUCGAGCUAAUACCGCAUACGCCCUACGGGGGAAAGCGGGGGAUCUUCGGACCUCGCGCUAAUGGAUGAGCCUAAGCCGGAUUAGCUAGUUGGUAGGGUAAAAGCCUACCAAGGCGACGAUCCGUAGCUGGUCUGAGAGGACGAUCAGCCACACUGGGACUGAGACACGGCCCAGACUCCUACGGGAGGCAGCAGUGGGGAAUAUUGGACAAUGGGCGCAAGCCUGAUCCAGCAAUGCCGCGUGUGUGAAGAAGGCCUGCGGGUUGUAAAGCACUUUCAGUAGAGAAGAAAAGCUUAGGGUUAAUAACCCUGAGUCUUGACGUUACCUACAGAAGAAGCUCCGGCUAACUCCGUGCCAGCAGCCGCGGUAAUACGGAGGGAGCGAGCGUUAAUCGGAAUUACUGGGCGUAAAGCGCGCGUAGGCGGCUUUGUAAGUCGGACGUGAAAGCCCUGGGCUCAACCUGGGAAUUGCAUUCGAUACUGCAGAGCUAGAGUAUGGUAGAGGGAAGUGGAAUUUCCGGUGUAGCGGUGAAAUGCGUAGAUAUCGGAAGGAACACCAGUGGCGAAGGCGACUUCCU